CAGGGGGGCGUGCUAUACAUGCAGUCGAGCGGACCGACGGGAGCUUGCUCCCUUAGGUCAGCGGCGGACGGGUGAGUAACACGUGGGUAACCUGCCUGUAAGACUGGGAUAACUCCGGGAAACCGGGGCUAAUACCGGAUGCUUGAUUGAACCGCAUGGUUCAAUCAUAAAAGGUGGCUUUUAGCUACCACUUGCAGAUGGACCCGCGGCGCAUUAGCUAGUUGGUGAGGUAACGGCUCACCAAGGCGACGAUGCGUAGCCGACCUGAGAGGGUGAUCGGCCACACUGGGACUGAGACACGGCCCAGACUCCUACGGGAGGCAGCAGUAGGGAAUCUUCCGCAAUGGACGAAAGUCUGACGGAGCAACGCCGCGUGAGUGAUGAAGGUUUUCGGAUCGUAAAACUCUGUUGUUAGGGAAGAACAAGUACCGUUCGAAUAGGGCGGCACCUUGACGGUACCUAACCAGAAAGCCACGGCUAACUACGUGCCAGCAGCCGCGGUAAUACGUAGGUGGCAAGCGUUGUCCGGAAUUAUUGGGCGUAAAGCGCGCGCAGGCGGUUUCUUAAGUCUGAUGUGAAAGCCCCCGGCUCAACCGGGGAGGGUCAUUGGAAACUGGGGAACUUGAGUGCAGAAGAGGAGAGUGGAAUUCCACGUGUAGCGGUGAAAUGCGUAGAGAUGUGGAGGAACACCAGUGGCGAAGGCGACUCUCUGGUCUGUAACUGACGCUGAGGCGCGAAAGCGUGGGGAGCGAACAGGAUUAGAUACCCUGGUAGUCCACGCCGUAAACGAUGAGUGCUAAGUGUUAGAGGGUUUCCGCCCUUUAGUGCUGCAGCAAACGCAUUAAGCACUCCGCCUGGGGAGUACGGUCGCAAGACUGAAACUCAAAGGAAUUGACGGGGGCCCGCACAAGCGGUGGAGCAUGUGGUUUAAUUCGAAGCAACGCGAAGAACCUUACCAGGUCUUGACAUCCUCUGACAACCCUAGAGAUAGGGCUUCCCC
Molecule: ribosomal RNA, 1000 nt
Filed under: Bacillus licheniformis
Lineage: Bacteria; Bacillati; Bacillota; Bacilli; Caryophanales; Bacillaceae
Description: bacterial SSU rRNA
Rfam family: Bacterial small subunit ribosomal RNA
Source: RNAcentral